RNAcentral lists this unclassified non-coding RNA (394 nucleotides) under Zea mays. RNAcentral describes it as "misc RNA Zm00001eb093990". The record is from RNAcentral. Lineage: Eukaryota; Viridiplantae; Streptophyta; Magnoliopsida; Poales; Poaceae.
CCGAUAGCGUGGCGGUCCUCUUGAGGGUAGAUCUUGACACAGUCACGAAGGACAGGGUUCGAGACCUAAUCAAAGCCCACAAAUGUGCCCUGGAGAAGCUGACCGUCGUGAAGGGAGACGCACAUACGGUAGGAAGGCACCACACUCGUGGCGGAGGUAAGGGUUCCGAGGAGCGAAGCUGGAAGUGCGAAGGGGUGGCGCUGACAGGGAAGGUUGCACCACCGAGGAGGAUAGGAAGCAUGCCGGAGGUGCCAGCCCUGGUCAAGGCUGACACGAAGAAGAGGGGCAGAGACGGCCUUGCGGGUCGCGUCAGCGGCAAGGGAGAUGGCAACAUGAGUGGCAAAAGACAAAAGAGCAAGGGGGCCACAUGCAGCCUGGGAGAACCCGACAUCCG